This 289-nucleotide long non-coding RNA is filed under the name Rattus norvegicus (Norway rat). RNAcentral's name for it is "long non-coding RNA NONRATT031502". Lineage: Eukaryota; Metazoa; Chordata; Mammalia; Rodentia; Muridae. The record is from RNAcentral.
CUCCAAACAAAGUUCCACAUAAAACUCUACCAUACCAAUAUAUGGACAAUUAUUUACAAUCAAGGACAGAAAAAGAUUUUACCAAAUUAUAAUUUUAACAAAAGAAAUUUUACUGCUGCACUCACAGGGACAUCAUGGACAACAUCUGCCCAAAUUGGAAAAUUACUUCAACUCUUUAAAUUUCCUCAGUGAAAAAAGCAACAAUAUCUACAAUGCUGUGUAUGCUGUGGCUCACAGUCUCCAUCAGAUGAGUCUUCAACGAGUACAAAUACAACCACAUGAAAAUGGG